GUGGCUUUCGAAGUCAAUAUGCUGCCCACGAAGAUCAUUAUAUGUAGUUUAGUGUUCCCUGUUUCUAUUUGAGUUGGAGACCACUGUUCUACACAGAAACCAACGUGGUCAUGCUGGGUUGGUCUCCACCUUGUCUGACCAGCUAGGGAACAGAGGGUUGGCAGAUUGUUAAUCUCUCAACAAGUAGCUAGGGGCAGAAGGAGCUAAGGAGAGUAGGGAGGGUCCAAGGCUGUGAUUGUCAGUGGACCAAGGACUGCUGAGAUACGAUAGCAUGGGAGGAGCAGAUAUGGUGGGAAGCUGCUACAAGUAAUUUGAAGAAAGUUUUCACAGACUUGGAGAAUGGCAAAUGUUCCUGUGUUCAAGAGAGAGAGAAAGACAGAGACAAACAGAGAGACAGAGACAGAGGGACAAAGAGAGAUAGAGACAGAGGGAGAGAGACAGAGACAGAGACAGAGAUAGAGACAGAGACAGAGAAAGAGAGAAAGGGGGAGAGAAAGAGGGAGAGGGAGAGGCAGAGAGAGAAAGGGGGAGAGACAGAGGGGGAGAGAGGGGAGAGAGGAAAUGAAGGACAGAGAGAAAGAGAGACGGGGAGAGAGAGAGAGAGAGAGAGAGAGAGAAGAGAGAGAGAGAGAGAGAGAGAGAGAGAGGAGAGAGAGAGACUGGCAUUUGCCAAAGUAUAUGCUGGCAAGCUUGUCUUGAUCACAGCAGCAUGGUAUUGUAGAUAGAGAGAUAUAAUUGAAGUUAGGAAGGCUAUGUGACUCUAGGCAAGUUAAUUAAUCUUUAUCGGCCACAAUUUCCUCUCCGGUGUGGUUGGACUAUGAGUGCAAAGAUAAGAAAAAUGGGUAAGAAGAAUGGAAAGAAGGGGGUCAGAUUAUAAGGAGCUUUAAGGGUCAAGCAGAGUUUACAUUUGAUACCAGAGAAGUGGCUUUCUCUGGCAGAGGAAUCACAUCAUAUCAGUUGUGUGGACAGGUCAGAAAACUGCUCCAGAGAGCAACCAGAAGGAUGCAGCAUUGGACUCCAAUUGCACAGAGCUACACAGACCCAACAGGAGCCAUGAUGGAAGGCAAAUCUAAUGCCACCUGCUGGGAGCUAUGGAAACUACAGACGGAACCAGGGCACAGAGUUGUCCUUCUGGAAGCCCAGCCUAGUACGUGACUUUGUCCCAGAUUUUUAAUGACAGAUCUCUCCUUCUUUGGCUUGAGGUAGUGUCAGGGGAGCAUGUGACCUUCUCACCUUUCCCUAGAUGUUUCAGGAAUCACCCUGACAUUCCCAGUGCAAAUUAUGGAUAACUGAGACAACUGGGAAGAAAGUGAGAUGCUUUCCUGAGCAGCCAGAUCCAUGGAAAGCACUUGGGAAGUGCACGCACUGAGCAGGCAGGAGGAGAGAGAUGCUGUCAAACUGAAGCAAGUGACCAAGAACCAACAUGAAUUUGGGGAGAUAGAAUUGUUUGUGAAGUUCAAGAACAGCUUGGUCUGCAAGCCUCUGGAGGACAUCUUGUUGGUGAGGCAUGGGGUCAUAGGAACUUCCGUACCAGAGAAAGCCAUAAAUUAGAACUGUGUCUUUAAGCUGCAGCACCAGCAAUCUGGGUAGUUUGGAGGCAGAGAGCUGAUCCCCUGGGAAAGGAGAUAACCACCAUUUGCUGGAAGCUCAGGGGAGCUACAAGUAGCAAGGACUAUAGGCAGGAUGGCAAAAGGACUAUAAUCCCACAUAGCCACUGCUAGAAGCUGAUGAGGAUUGUAGGAAAGGAAGGCUACAGCAGACGCAAGCUAUAGGUGGGGCAAUGUUUGAUGCCAAAAGGACUGCAGAAAGGAGUCACGUACAAGAGGUGACAAAAACAAAGGAGGAAGUAACCCUGUUCAGACAGCCAGGAGAGCCAUGGAGGUGAGAACCAAUGAAGAGUAGCAACCCACCAGGGGCAGCUAGGUGGUACAGUGGAUAGAGCACCUGGCCUGCAGUCAGGAAGACCUGAGUUCAGAUGUGACCUCAGACACUGAGCAGCCACGGAACCCUGGAUAAGUCAUUACUUUACUUCUAUCUGCCUAUAAAAUGGGGAUAAUGUAGUACUUACUUUUUUUGUGAGAUUCAAAUGAGAUAAUAUUUGUAAAGUGCUUAGCACAGUGCCUGAAACGUAGUAGAUGCUGUAUAAAUGUAUAUUCCCUUCCUCUUCCCCUCUUUGCCUCUUCCCCUCCUCCCCUUUAGUGUUUUUAUUAAUCAUAUUGUUUCAGUCAUUCAAUAGUCAGCCAGUAAACAUUUAUUCAAUGUUUACUAUGUGCCAGGUACUAAGUGCUAAGUGCAGGAGAUAAUCCUACCCUGGAGGAGCUCACAAUCUAACAGAAGAGACAACAAGUAAACAACUAUGUACAACUUUUUGACUUGUAACAACUUGUAAACUUGUGUUUACUAGAUAAAUAGAAAAUUGUCAACAGAGGGAUUCCAUGCUUAUCACUUGACAUCUAAAAUCAUAACAACUCUAGCUUUUUGGAAACACCCGAAACAUAGCAAAUGUUAUUUCAGAACCUCAAAUAACAAUAAAAAUGAAAAAGGCUCGCA
Phascolarctos cinereus (koala) is the source of this 2550-nucleotide long non-coding RNA. Lineage: Eukaryota; Metazoa; Chordata; Mammalia; Diprotodontia; Phascolarctidae. The record is from Ensembl.